GACUGUAGUCGUUGCAGAUCAAUCCUUAGGUCGCUGGUUCGAAUCCGGCAGGUCGGA
Molecule: small RNA, 57 nt
Filed under: Oryza sativa Japonica Group (Japanese rice)
Lineage: Eukaryota; Viridiplantae; Streptophyta; Magnoliopsida; Poales; Poaceae
Description: sRNA Os10g0376301
Source: RNAcentral